This 360-nucleotide ribosomal RNA is filed under the name uncultured Prevotella sp. Its description in RNAcentral is "bacterial SSU rRNA". It matches the Rfam family "Bacterial small subunit ribosomal RNA", at positions 169 to 524 of the family's 1533-position model. Lineage: Bacteria; Pseudomonadati; Bacteroidota; Bacteroidia; Bacteroidales; Prevotellaceae. The record is from RNAcentral.
CCCAAUGAUAUUCAUUGAUGACAUCUGAUUUGAAUUAAAGAUUUAUCGGUAUAGGAUGGGGAUGCGUCUGAUUAGCUUGUUGGUGAGGUAACGGCUCACCCAAGGCCCACGAUCCAGUAGGGGUUCUGAGAGGAAGGUCCCCCACAUUGGAACUGAGACACGGUCCAAACUCCUACGGGAGGCAGCAGUGAGGAAUAUUGGUCAAUGGACGAGAGUCUGAACCAGCCAAGUAGCGUGCAGGAUGACGGCCCUAUGGGUUGUAAACUGCUUUUGUUUGGGAAUAAUCGACAUUACGUGUAAUGUUUUGCAUGUACCAUUCGAAUAAGGACCGGCUAAUUCCGUGCCAGCAGCCGCGGUAAU